This 474-nucleotide ribosomal RNA is filed under the name uncultured bacterium. RNAcentral describes it as "bacterial SSU rRNA". It matches the Rfam family "Bacterial small subunit ribosomal RNA", at positions 335 to 799 of the family's 1533-position model. The record is from RNAcentral.
ACUCCUACGGGAGGCAGCAGUGGGGAAUAUUGCACAAUGGGGAAACCCUGAUGCAGCCAUGCCGCGUGUGUGAAGAAGGCCUUCGGUUGUAAAGCACUUUCAGUAGGGAGGAAGGUAGUGUAGUUAACACCUGCAUUAUUUGACGUUACCUACAGAAGAAGCACCGGCUAACUCCGUGCCAGCAGCCGCGGUAAUACGGAGGGGUGCGAGCGUUAAUCGGAAUUACUGGGCGUAAAGCGCAUGCAGGCGGCCUGUUAAGUCAGAUGUGAAAGCCCGGGGGCUUAACCUCGGAAAUUGCAUUUGAAACUGGCAGGCUAGAGUCUUGUAGAGGGGGUAGAAUUUCAGGUGUAGCGGUGAAAUGCGUAGAGAUCUGAAGGAAUACCAGUGGCGAAGGCGGCCCCCUGGACAAAGACUGACGCUCAGAUGCGAAAGCGUGGGGAGCGAAACAGGAUUAGAUACCCUGGUAGCACAGAG